Molecule: transfer RNA, 72 nt
Filed under: Dallia pectoralis (Alaska blackfish)
Lineage: Eukaryota; Metazoa; Chordata; Actinopteri; Esociformes; Umbridae
Description: tRNA-Ser
Rfam family: tRNA
About the family: Transfer RNA (tRNA) molecules are approximately 80 nucleotides in length. Their secondary structure includes four short double-helical elements and three loops (D, anti-codon, and T loops).
Source: RNAcentral
GAGUUGGUAGCUCAGUGGAGGAGUGCAUGCUUAGAAUGUAUGAUGUCCUGGGUUCAAUCCCCAGCUUCUCCU